Molecule: small nuclear RNA, 108 nt
Filed under: Piliocolobus tephrosceles (Ugandan red Colobus)
Lineage: Eukaryota; Metazoa; Chordata; Mammalia; Primates; Cercopithecidae
Source: RNAcentral
GUGCUCUCUUCGGCAGCACAUACACCAAAACUGGAAUGAUACAGAGAGGUUAUUAGCAUGGCCCCUGUGCAAGGAUGAUGCACCAUUUAUGAAGCAUUUCAUAUUUUU